Molecule: ribosomal RNA, 240 nt
Filed under: Klebsiella pneumoniae
Lineage: Bacteria; Pseudomonadati; Pseudomonadota; Gammaproteobacteria; Enterobacterales; Enterobacteriaceae
Description: partial 16S ribosomal RNA
Rfam family: Bacterial small subunit ribosomal RNA
Source: RNAcentral
GAAAUGUUGGGUUAAGUCCCGCAACGAGCGCAACCCUUAUCCUUUGUUGCCAGCGNUUAGGUCGGGAACUCAAAGGAGACUGCCAGUGAUAAACUGGAGGAAGGUGGGGAUGACGUCAAGUCAUCAUGGCCCUUACGAGUAGGGCUACACACGUGCUACAAUGGCAUAUACAAAGAGAAGCGACCUCGCGAGAGCAAGCGGACCUCAUAAAGUAUGUCGUAGUCCGGAUUGGAGUCUGCA